Molecule: ribosomal RNA, 403 nt
Filed under: bacterium
Lineage: Bacteria
Description: partial 16S ribosomal RNA
Rfam family: Bacterial small subunit ribosomal RNA
Source: RNAcentral
UGGGGAAUAUUGAACAAUGGGGGAAACCCUGAUGCAGCGACGCCGCGUGAACGAAGAAGGUAUUCGUAUCGUAAAGUUCUGUCCUAUGGGAAGAUAAUGACAGUACCAUAGAAGAAAGCUCCGGCUAAAUACGUGCCAGCAGCCGCGGUAAUACGUAUGGAGCGAGCGUUGUCCGGAAUUAUUGGGCGUAAAGGGUACGCAGGCGGUUUAAUAAGUCGAAUGUUAAAGAUCGGGGCUCAACCCCGCAAAGCAUUGGAAACUGAUAAACUUGAGUAGUGGAGAGGAAAGUGGAAUUCCUAGUGUAGUGGUGAAAUACGUAGAUAUUAGGAGGAAUACCAGUAGCGAAGGCGACUUUCUGGACACAAACUGACGCUGAGGUACGAAAGCGUGGGGAGCAAACAGG